Non-coding RNA from Theobroma umbraticum, 2286 nucleotides. Lineage: Eukaryota; Viridiplantae; Streptophyta; Magnoliopsida; Malvales; Malvaceae. The record is from RefSeq and is a predicted model, not a curated record.
UCUUUUUGGUCCUUGUUUAAGGAGAGUGUACACAUUUUCUUAUGGUGCUCCACCAUCAGUUGAAGCUGCCAGCAUGAUCUUAAUUUUCCUUCUUUUUAUCAAGGAAAGAUCAGAUCAUAUGGCAGUUUCACCUGUUGCUGCUUGCACAAUCCCAAGAAAGAAAAAACCCUAAUUUCUCUCAAAAUGAAACCCUAAUUGCCACACCCUUCUUUUCUGCAAACACCACCAUUCUUGUUUUCUUCAAUCCCUGGAAGCGUCUGUCAUCAUCUGAACCUCUUUGUGCAAAUUCAGGCUUAUCUGGAUUUCUGGGGAAUUUUUGUGUCUCGGUGCAGUUUUGAUGAUAUCAAGAUCCCUUGCUACUGCUUUGGUGAUUGAGCCUCGGGACUCCCAGAUUCUUCGCUUUGCUACUGAUUUGGAAUUUAAUCUGCCAUAUGAUGUAGCUAGGGCUUGUUUUUGAAGUGGGGUUUCUUUCAUAAUCCAACUACAGCAGGAUUACAAAACCGGAGAGAGAGAAGUGACCUUAAUUCACAUGCCCUGUGAAGGUUUGAAAGUUGUGACUGAAACUGCAUUUCCAUCUCUUGUAUUCUUGAACGAAUUCCAUGAGCUUUAUCUUUAGUUCAUUAAAUGAUAUUUAGCUGCUUUGGAUCUAGCUUAUUCAACUCCCAGGAUUUUGUAAAUCAUGAGUGAGAAGGAAGAAAAGAAGAGGGGUGAAUUAAAGAGAGACAGAGAGAGUACAUCUUUCUGUUCUUUUACAAGUUCAUCACAUUAUGUCCAACACAGAGAAAGAUGAUAUAGGAACUCAGCAGCAUGUUUUUUUUCUGAAGUUUGCUGAACAUGUGUCAUUGAAGUCUUGAUGCAACAGGAGUGGAGAAUUUUUGAGAUAUAGGGAAUAUGAUAGAUGACUAUAUAGCAACAUCAAGAAAACUUGUUUUGUGUGAAGAAAUUUUAACUUAACUUGUGAAUCUAGCUAAUAUUCCACUACAUAUCUUAUCUUUUACGGCUUAUAGCUGCUUAUGUCUGGUGUAACAGAAGCAUGAAUGUACUAUCCUUGUGAGACACUUUUUGCUUCUUGAUCUUAGUGCAACUUGUACACCUUCAAAGUCUAAAUAAUCAAGAUAAGAACAUUUUCUUGGGAGCACAAAAAUGAAACCUGUCGCCAAUGCUUGCCAUGAAACAAACAGAAGAUCAAUUUUGAAGUGCUUAGUUUAUUUAACGGUAGAGAAAAUGAAACGUAUCUCUCUAAAUUACAAUUUAUUCUCUCAUUUCAGCUUAUAAACAUAAUGCAAAUAGUCAUGUUUCGGCUGCACUUUCUGUCUAAAUUGAUCUGCUAAAAACCCUGUGAAUUUUUUUUAAACCUUAAUACAGGAGAGUUUGAUUAAGAACUGCUGAUGUUUAUUCUAAAAACUAUGAGGCUAUGAUCAAUAUCAUGUGAAGCUCCUUUCAGUUUUCAUGAGAAAAUGUUGUCUCUUCUCUCUCUCUCUCUCUCUCCCUGAGGGUUGCUUUCUUUCCUUCUAUCUUUUCUUGCUGGACUUUGGCCCUUCUGUUUUGGUGGUAAGCUUUAUGUAGACAAGAUUCCAUGCAGCUCUCAUUUUUCCAUAAGUACCAAAGUAGUCAGAUAUGUUACUAGUUUUGAUUUCUCCUACUCUUUCCAGAGUUUUUCCAUAUGUCCGCUAUCAUGCAUGAAGAAAGACUAAGUGAGGAUUCAUUGACAAGUACUCCUUACAUUCCAUUUGAAGAUGCUCUUGGGAAUUAGUCUCCAUAAAGCUAGAUCUUUGGCAUCAUUUUAGUUACUGUCUUCUUUAAGGGGAUCAAAGAUGGGUCAAGUAAUUCAUUCUCUAAAGAAGUGGGCUGCCUGUGUAUCUAGGUGGGGGGCCCGGGCUAGCUGUUGUAGUAGCUAGGUAAUUCAGUUUCCUUCACCCUGAAUGCUUUUACGUUAUCUCCCUAAUACAUAAUUUUUGCUCCUCACAGUUUAUCAGAUCUUAACUUCUCUUUUAAGGUCUUUAGCUAUGACAGCUAUAUGUGAGAAAUUGAACUGAUGCUUUUACCUAGGGUCUGUUUGGAUCUCAGGAGGAAAAGCAAGGAUGGUUUCCCUUGGGGCAACAUAAGGAUUGAACAGAAGUGCAAAUCCUUUUCUUUGAUUGUCACGCUCUUACUUACGAGUUGCUGCAGUAAACAAUGCAUGUACACCUAAAAGAGAGAAGAAAAAAUUACAUCAAAGUGAAAACAAAAACCUCAGAGGUUGGAUUCGUAAGAGAAGCUACUAAUUUUAAUUUGAUGUGAUUGUGA